RNAcentral lists this ribosomal RNA (419 nucleotides) under Pseudomonas sp. Z84. RNAcentral describes it as "bacterial SSU rRNA". It matches the Rfam family "Bacterial small subunit ribosomal RNA", at positions 280 to 688 of the family's 1533-position model. The record is from RNAcentral. Lineage: Bacteria; Pseudomonadati; Pseudomonadota; Gammaproteobacteria; Pseudomonadales; Pseudomonadaceae.
UCCGUAACGUGGUCUGANAGCAUGAUCAGUCACACUGGAACUGAGACACGGUCCAGACUCCUACKGGAGGCAGCAGUGGGGAAUAUUGGACAAUGGGCGAAAGCCUGAKCCANYCAUGCCGCGUGUGUGAAGAAGGUCUUCGGAUUGUAAAGCACUUUAAGUUGGGAGGAAGGGCAGUUACCUAAUACGUAAUUGUUUUGACGUUACCGACAGAAUAAGCACCGGCUAACUCUGUGCCAGCAGCCGCGGUAAUACAGAGGGUGCAAGCGUUAAUCGGAAUUACUGGGCGUAAAGCGCGCGUAGGUGGUUUGUUAAGUUGAAUGUGAAAUGCCCCGGGCUCAWCCUGGGAACUGCAUCCUAAAACUGGCAAGCUAGAGUAUGGUAGAGGGUGGUGGAAUUUCCUGUGUAGCGGUGAAAUG